GACGAACGCUGGCGGCGUGCUUAACACAUGCAAGUCGAACGGAAAGGCCCUGCUUUUGUGGGGUGCUCGAGUGGCGAACGGGUGAGUAACACGUGAGUAACCUGCCCUUGACUUUGGGAUAACUUCAGGAAACUGGGGCUAAUACCGGAUAGGAGCUCCUGCUGCAUGGUGGGGGUUGGAAAGUUUCGGCGGUUGGGGAUGGACUCGCGGCUUAUCAGCUUGUUGGUGGGGUAGUGGCUUACCAAGGCGUUGACGGGUAGCCGGCCUGAGAGGGUGACCGGCAACAUUGGGACUGAGAUACGGCCCAGACUGCUACGGGAGGCAGCAGUGGGGAAUAUUGCACAAUGGGAGGAAGCCUGAUGCAGCAAAGCAGCGUGCGGGAUGACGGCCUUCGGGUUGUAAACCGCUUUCGCCUGUGACGAAGAGUGAGUGACGGUAAUGGGUAAAGAAGCACCGGCUAACUACGUG
RNAcentral lists this ribosomal RNA (468 nucleotides) under uncultured bacterium. RNAcentral describes it as "partial 16S ribosomal RNA". It matches the Rfam family "Bacterial small subunit ribosomal RNA", at positions 28 to 507 of the family's 1533-position model. The record is from RNAcentral.